AUAAAUUUUCUGUUUGGUUUUGUCUGUGCUGUGUUCUGUUCUAAAGAAAAACAGUGAAAAAGUGAAAAUUGUGGAAAAAAUACUAAUUAUUUGUGUAAAUCUUACAGGAAUAUACAGAAAAGUAAUACUCAGUAAGACUGAAGUGUUGUGAAAGUUGUUUUGUGCAAGAAUUUGUUUAAUAAUUUCGUGAGACGCCGCAUAUUUAAUUUUAUUGAACAUUCAUAUGCUGCUUUAGGUACUCAGAGUCCCAAAAGAGACGAAAGAGUUAAGGUGAUCACCGCCGGACAGACAGACGAAUUAGACGACAAACAAACAAAUAACAUAACAUUGUCUGAGACAUCUCCUGAUUUGUGAAGAUACAUGAUGUUUCCGGGGCGGAAGGUGAAAAUUUUAAGCAGAAGAAAUGGUGUAAACGUCAGUGUAAAUGGUAAAAGCAAAUAUGUGAUCCUGAAAAAAGAUUACUCUUCAACUUAAUGUGGAGGGAGUUU
Molecule: long non-coding RNA, 488 nt
Organism: Phlebotomus papatasi
Lineage: Eukaryota; Metazoa; Arthropoda; Insecta; Diptera; Psychodidae
Exons: 4
Source: RefSeq, a predicted model, not a curated record